This 497-nucleotide ribosomal RNA is filed under the name uncultured bacterium. RNAcentral describes it as "partial 16S ribosomal RNA". It matches the Rfam family "Bacterial small subunit ribosomal RNA", at positions 28 to 507 of the family's 1533-position model. The record is from RNAcentral.
GAUGAACGCUGGCGGCGUGCCUAAUACAUGCAAGUCGAGCGAACAGACGAGGAGCUUGCUCCUCUGACGUUAGCGGCGGACGGGUGAGUAACACGUGGAUAACCUACCUAUAAGACUGGGAUAACUUCGGGAAACCGGAGCUAAUACCGGAUAAUAUAUUGAACCGCAUGGUUCAAUAGUGAAAGACGGUUUUGCUGUCACUUAUAGAUGGAUCCGCGCCGCAUUAGCUAGUUGGUAAGGUAACGGCUUACCAAGGCAACGAUGCGUAGCCGACCUGAGAGGGGGAUCGGCCACACGGGAGGGGAAACGGCGACAAGCGGCCUGAGGGAGGCAGCAGUAGGGAACCUGCCGCAGUGGGCGAGAACCUGACAGAACGGCGGGGCGGGAGUGGCAAAGGUCUUGGGAGCGUAAAACUGUUUUAUGGGGGAAAAACAAAUGUGGAAGUAAAUAUGCCGGUCUUGACGGUACCUAAUAAAAAAGCCACGGCUAACUACGUG